CGUGUAGGCGGCCGCACAGGUCCGUUGUGAAAACUGGAGGCUUAACCUUCAGACGUCGAUGGAAACCGUGCGGCUAAAGUCCGGAAGAGGAGAAUGGAAUUCCUGGUGUAGCGGUGAAAUGCGCAGAUAUCAGGAAGAACACCCGUGGCUAAGGCGGUUCUCUAGUACGGUACUGACGCUGAGACGCGAAAGCGUGGGGAGCGAACA
RNAcentral lists this ribosomal RNA (207 nucleotides) under uncultured bacterium. RNAcentral's name for it is "partial 16S ribosomal RNA". It matches the Rfam family "Bacterial small subunit ribosomal RNA", at positions 568 to 774 of the family's 1533-position model. The record is from RNAcentral.